RNAcentral lists this ribosomal RNA (1159 nucleotides) under uncultured bacterium. RNAcentral describes it as "partial 16S ribosomal RNA". It matches the Rfam family "Bacterial small subunit ribosomal RNA", at positions 212 to 1406 of the family's 1533-position model. The record is from RNAcentral.
UUAUCGCUUAGAGAGGGGCCUGCUUCCUAUCAGCUAGUUGGUGAGGUAAUAGCUCACCAAGGCAAUGACGGGUAAUUGGUCUGAGAGGAUGACCAGUCACAAUGGAACUGAGACACGGUCCAUACUCCUACGGGAGGCAGCAGUGAGGAAUCUUCCACAAUGGGCGAAAGCCUGAUGGAGCGACACCGCGUGAAGGAUGAAGGAUUUGUUUCUGUAAACUUCUUUUCUGUGGGAAGAUAAUGACGGUACCACAGGAAUAAGGGACGGCUAACUACGUGCCAGCAGCCGCGGUAAUACGUAGGUCCCAAGCGUUAUCCGGAAUUACUGGGCGUAAAGCGUCUGUAGGUGGAUAAGUAAGUUUUGUAUGAAAGACCGAAGCUCAACUUCGUGUUUGUAUAAAAUACUGCUUGUCUAGAGUCAGGGAGAGGUAAGUAGAAUUGUAUGAGUAGGGGUGCAAUCCGUAGAUACAUACAAGAAUACCAAAAGCGAAGGCAACUUACUGGAACUGUACUGACACUGAGAGACGAAAGCGUGGGGAGCGAAAAGGAUUAGAUACCCUUGUAGUCCACGCCCUAAACGAUGAUAGUUAAGUGUUCCGCUUGGCGGGAGUGCUGUAGCAAACGCGUUAAACUAUCCGCCUGAGGAGUACGGCCGCAAGGUUAAAACUCAAAUGAAUAGACGGGGACCCACACAAGCAGUGGAUCAUGUGGUUUAAUUCGACAAUAAACGGGGAAUCUUACCCAGGCUUGACAUCUACCGAAUCUUUUAGAAAUAGAAGAGUGCCUUANAGGGAAUUGUAAGACAGGUGCUGCAUGGUUGUCGUCAGCUCGUGCCUUGAGGUGUUCGGUUAAGUCCGUUAACGAGCGCAACCCAUGUCUUUAGUUAUUAUGUCUAAAGAGACUGCCUUGGUUAACAAGGAGGAAGGUGUGGAUGACGUCGAAUCAGCAUGGCUUUUACGUCUGGGGCUACACACAUGAUACAAUGGUAUAUACAAAGAGUCGCAAAAUGGUAACAUUAAGCUAAUCUUCNNNNNNNNNNNNNNNNNNNNNNNNNNNNNNGCAACUCGACCUCAUGAAGUUGGAAUUGCUAGUAAUCGUAAAUCAGAUAUGUUACGGUGAAUAUGUUCCUGGGUCUUGUACUCACCGCCCGUCACGGCAUG